CGUAGGGGGCAAGCGUUGUCCGGAUUUAUUGGGCGUAAAGAGCGUGCAGGCGGCUUGGUAGGUCCGCUGUGAAAACUCGAGGCUCAACCUCGAGAUGUCGGCGGAAACCACUUGGCUAGAGUCCGGAAGAGGAGAGUGGAAUUCCCGGUGUAGCGGUGAAAUGCGCAGAUAUCGGGAAGAACACCUAUGGCGAAGGCAGCUCUCUGGGACGGUACUGACGCUGAGACGCGGAAGCGUGGGGAGCGAACAGGAUUAGAUACCCUGGUAGUCCACGCCGUAAACGAUGGGUGCUAGGUGUGGGCGGUGUCGACUCCGUCCGUGCCGAAGCUAACGCAUUAAGCACCCCGCCUGGGGAGUACGGCCGCAAGGCUA
RNAcentral lists this ribosomal RNA (372 nucleotides) under uncultured organism. Its description in RNAcentral is "bacterial SSU rRNA". It matches the Rfam family "Bacterial small subunit ribosomal RNA", at positions 526 to 896 of the family's 1533-position model. The record is from RNAcentral.